Molecule: ribosomal RNA, 501 nt
Filed under: uncultured bacterium
Lineage: Bacteria
Description: partial 16S ribosomal RNA
Rfam family: Bacterial small subunit ribosomal RNA
Source: RNAcentral
AUUGAACGCUGGCGGCAUGCCUUACACAUGCAAGUCGAACGGCAGCACGGGUGCUUGCACCUGGUGGCGAGUGGCGAACGGGUGAGUAAUACAUCGGAACGUACCUUAUCGUGGGGGAUAACGCAGCGAAAGCUGUGCUAAUACCGCAUACGCCCUGAGGGGGAAAGCGGGGGAUCGAAAGACCUCGCGCGACUAGAGCGGCCGAUGCCUGAUUAGCUUGUUGGUGGGGUAAAAGCCCACCAAGGCGACGAUCAGUAGCUGGUCUGAGCGGAGGAUCAGCCAGACUGGGACUGAGACACGGCCCGGACUCCUACGGGAGGCAGCAGUGGGGAAUUUUGGACGAUGGGGGCAACCCUGAUCCAGCAAUGCCGCGUGAGUGAAGAAGGCCUUCGGGUUGUAAAGCUCUCUUGUCAGGGAAGAAACACCGGCUCUAACACAGUCCGGGAAUGACGGUACCUGAAGAAUAAGCACCGGCUAACUACGUGCCAGCCGCCGCCGUAA